Numida meleagris (helmeted guineafowl) is the source of this 373-nucleotide long non-coding RNA. RefSeq lists it as uncharacterized. Lineage: Eukaryota; Metazoa; Chordata; Aves; Galliformes; Numididae. The record is from RefSeq and is a predicted model, not a curated record. The transcript has 2 exons.
AGAUUUAUCUACUGAGGAAAAGUGGAGCAUUGUUUAGUAAUGAUGACAGAGAAGUUAGAAGCACUGGCAGUCUCUAAAUGGGGUAGCACCAUUCUUGAUUAUCCCAAGGAAUACAGCUUCAAUGGGCAAUGAGGUGAGAGCUCCGCACGCUGGGUUUAACAGGGCUGAACUGAAGUACCAGAGCUGCUUGGGUUACAGCAGGAUUUCCUAUUUGUGGAAAAAAAUGACUUUUACUAAUUCAUUGUAGCAACAACUUUUAAUAAUUAAUUGUUUUCAUUUGCUGGUGUGUGUGCUGCUGGAAUAUUUUGGCGUGUUUAUCUAAGUUUGUUGCACUUUUUAUAAGUAAAUUGCUAGUACCUUGUUAUGUUUCAGA